GUUCGACUUAAACGGCCUCUGGACCGUACGUAUAUAUGGCUAUCUAUUUCUUUGCCUGUUUUGAUGAGCCUCACUUCUCUCAAAGCAAUGAAGGAGCAGAAAAAGAUGAUGACGACGACGAAUACGAUGGUAGUGGAAACGGUCUCCUGCUGAAAAUCAAGAAAAGAAAUGGAUGAAUUGAAAGCCAAGCAUGUCAAUCACAAUUUAUGGAAUACCCAUUUGAAGAGCAAGAAAAUAUGGUUGCCUCAUGUUCAUGAGUAUGCAUCGAUAAGGAGGAUUUGUUGUUGAAGAGGAAUUGCAUACUAAUGUUUUUUAUUUCUAAUUAUUUUAGAUGUAAUGGUCAAUGGAUGGAGCAAAUCAAAAUGCUUCUUCCUUUUGGAAACAAGAAGUAAUAAAAUCCCCAAGACCUCCAUUAACCUUGGCA
This is a long non-coding RNA of Vitis vinifera (wine grape), 424 nucleotides long. RefSeq lists it as uncharacterized. NCBI's taxonomy places the organism in Eukaryota, Viridiplantae, Streptophyta, Magnoliopsida, Vitales, Vitaceae. The transcript is spliced from 2 exons. The record is from RefSeq and is a predicted model, not a curated record.